This 1436-nucleotide ribosomal RNA is filed under the name uncultured organism. Its description in RNAcentral is "SSU rRNA". It matches the Rfam family "Bacterial small subunit ribosomal RNA". The record is from RNAcentral.
CUAGCUACAGGCUUAACACAUGCAAGUCGAGGGGCAUCAGGUAGAAAGCUUGCUUUCUUUGCUGGCGACCGGCGCACGGGUGAGUAACACGUAUCCAACCUGCCCUUUACUCGGGGAUAGCCUUUCGAAAGAAAGAUUAAUACCCGAUAGCAUAAUGAUUCCGCAUGGUUUCAUUAUUAAAGGAUUCCGGUAAAGGAUGGGGAUGCGUUCCAUUAGGUUGUUGGUGAGGUAACGGCCCACCAAGCCUUCGAUGGAUAGGGGUUCUGAGAGGAAGGUCCCCCACAUUGGAACUGAGACACGGUCCAAACUCCUACGGGAGGCAGCAGUGAGGAAUAUUGGUCAAUGGGCGCUAGCCUGAACCAGCCAAGUAGCGUGAAGGAUGAAGGCUCUAUGGGUCGUAAACUUCUUUUAUAUAAGAAUAAAGUGCAGUAUGUAUACUGUUUUGUAUGUAUUAUAUGAAUAAGGAUCGGCUAACUCCGUGCCAGCAGCCGCGGUAAUACGGAGGAUCCGAGCGUUAUCCGGAUUUAUUGGGUUUAAAGGGAGCGUAGGUGGACUGGUAAGUCAGUUGUGAAAGUUUGCGGCUCAACCGUAAAAUUGCAGUUGAUACUGUCAGUCUUGAGUACAGUAGAGGUGGGCGGAAUUCGUGGUGUAGCGGUGAAAUGCUUAGAUAUCACGAAGAACUCCGAUUGCGAAGGCAGCUCACUGGACUGCAACUGACACUGAUGCUCGAAAGUGUGGGUAUCAAACAGGAUUAGAUACCCUGGUAGUCCACACAGUAAACGAUGAAUACUCGCUGUUUGCGAUAUACAGUAAGCGGCCAAGCGAAAGCAUUAAGUAUUCCACCUGGGGAGUACGCCGGCAACGGUGAAACUCAAAGGAAUUGACGGGGGCCCGCACAAGCGGAGGAACAUGUGGUUUAAUUCGAUGAUACGCGAGGAACCUUACCCGGGCUUAAAUUGCAGUGGAAUGAUGUGGAAACAUGUCAGUGAGCAAUCACCGCUGUGAAGGUGCUGCAUGGUUGUCGUCAGCUCGUGCCGUGAGGUGUCGGCUUAAGUGCCAUAACGAGCGCAACCCUUAUCUUUAGUUACUAACAAGUUAUGCUGAGGACUCUAGAGAGACUGCCGUCGUAAGAUGUGAGGAAGGUGGGGAUGACGUCAAAUCAGCACGGCCCUUACGUCCGGGGCUACACACGUGUUACAAUGGGGGGUACAGAAGGCAGCUAGCGGGUGACCGUAUGCUAAUCCCAAAAUCCUCUCUCAGUUCGGAUCGAAGUCUGCAACCCGACUUCGUGAAGCUGGAUUCGCUAGUAAUCGCGCAUCAGCCACGGCGCGGUGAAUACGUUCCCGGGCCUUGUACACACCGCCCGUCAAGCCAUGGGAGCCGGGGGUACCUGAAGUACGUAACCGCAAGGAUCGUCCUAGGGUAAAACUGGUGAC